UGGCGGACGGGUGAGUAACACGUAUGCAACCUGCCCGUCUCAGGGGGAUAAUCGUCGGAAACGGCGUCUAAUACCCCGUAUGAAGCUGGAUGGCAUCGUCUGGUUUUGAAAGAAUAUCGGAGACGGAUGGGCAUGCGGCGCAUUAGCUAGUUGGCGGGGUAACGGCCCACCAAGGCGACGAUGCGUAGGGGUUCUGAGAGGAAGGUCCCCCACACUGGUACUGAGACACGGACCAGACUCCUACGGGAGGCAGCAG
RNAcentral lists this ribosomal RNA (256 nucleotides) under uncultured bacterium. RNAcentral describes it as "partial 16S ribosomal RNA". It matches the Rfam family "Bacterial small subunit ribosomal RNA", at positions 96 to 354 of the family's 1533-position model. The record is from RNAcentral.